CAUGAAAGAAUGUAGAAAGUUGCGUUUGCAACGCUUUUGGAUGAGGGUGCGACGUAUCAGAUAGUUGGUGAGGUAACGGCUCACCAAGUCAUUGACGCGUAGCUGUACUGAGAGGUAGAACAGCCACAAUGGGACUGAGACACGGCCCAUACUCCUACGGGAGGCAGCAGUAGGGAAUUUUUCACAAUGGGCGAAAGCCUUAUGAAGCAAUGCCGCGUGAACGAUGAAGGUCUAUAAGAUUGUAAAGUUCUUUUAUUUGGGAAGAACCACUAAAAUAGGAAAUGAUUUUAGUUUGACUGUACCAUUUGAAUAAGUAUCGGCUAACUAUGUGCCAGCAGCCGCGGUAAUACAUAGGAUGCAAGCGUUAUCCGGAUUUACUGGGCGUAAAACGAGCGCAGGCGGAUUUGUAAGUUUGGUAUGAAAUCUAGAUGCUUAACGUCUAGCUGUAUCAAAAACUACGAAUCUAGAGUGUAGCAGAGAGUUGGGGAACUCCAUGUGGAGCGGUAAAAUGCGUAGAUAUAUGGAAGAACACCGGUGGCGAAGGCGCCAACUUGGACUAUUACUGACGCUUAGGCUCGAAAGUGUGGGGAUCAAAUAGGA
This 600-nucleotide ribosomal RNA is filed under the name Ureaplasma diversum. RNAcentral's name for it is "bacterial SSU rRNA". It matches the Rfam family "Bacterial small subunit ribosomal RNA", at positions 188 to 777 of the family's 1533-position model. Lineage: Bacteria; Bacillati; Mycoplasmatota; Mycoplasmoidales; Mycoplasmoidaceae. The record is from RNAcentral.